GCUGAACAUAGUCCUGCCUAAGCAAGCCGGGUGUUGUAUUGAGGGACCCCCACAGGCUAAAAAUAGUCAGAUGUCCUUGUGCAAGUGUGCUGCCUGUUGGAAAGAAGAAGGAGAAGAAAAAGAUUAAGUGGUGUCACAGAUCUGGGCUUUGUGGGGGGUUUUCCUGCCUCGCAGCAUUAGGACCUUAGCAUCUCCGUGGAAAAGAGGCGGUGUCUGGCUGCAGUUCUGCCUCAUUGCAAAAAGAGAGAGAGGUUGAAAUGAGAGAGCCAUGGCAGGAGGAUGAGUGACAUCCGAAAUUGUGUCAGGAUUUUUUGGGGGGGUAGGGUUGUGCAGUUUCAGAAAGGCUCCCUUGCAAAGAGGCCGAGGGGCAAGGAAGGCUUGCAGCAGCUCCUGACUCCAGAGGAUCCAAAAGGCAGCCAGUGGAAAAUAAUAAUAAUACUAAAAGGCGUCCAGCAUCCUAAGGCUGGCAGGUUGGCAGGAUCCGGCCUUGGUGGGAGUGGCACAGGCAUUGUGUGUCUCUGGCUGAGCUGCCUGGCACUCCACUCGGAGGUGGCGUGUGGGUGAGUUUGGAUGCUGAAGCCUCCUUUGGGUGUGAAAUGCUUUUUUGGCUGAAAGAAGAAGAGAUGUCGCAUCAGGAGCUCACCCAGCGACUGGCUACGGUCAUCACUCAUGUGGAUGAAAUCAUGCAACAGGAGAUCAGGCCUCUUGUUGCUGUGGAUAUCAUAGAACAGCUUCACCGGCAGUUUGCCAUUUUAUCAGGAGGAAGGGGAAAGAUGGGGCACCAAUCAUUACCUUCCCAGAGUAUCCAGGCUUCAGUGAGAUCCC
Sceloporus undulatus (fence lizard) is the source of this 825-nucleotide long non-coding RNA. RefSeq lists it as uncharacterized. The record is from RefSeq and is a predicted model, not a curated record. NCBI's taxonomy places the organism in Eukaryota, Metazoa, Chordata, Lepidosauria, Squamata, Phrynosomatidae. The transcript is spliced from 3 exons.